AACCUGGUGUGUCAUGCGUUGCCUGAAAGCCAGAUGUGCAGAGUAACCAGGGAGGGCUUCCCAAAGUACAGCUUUACACACAUGGGUGUGUAUGCCCUGGGUGUGUGGGGAGUAACUUGUACCUGUGUUUUGUGCACCUGAAGAUCUGGAUGUGGCCAGAGCACAGCACGGGUGUUGGGAUUAUCCCUGUGUCCACGAAGCCCAGAUAACAACACGAGCAAGCUGCCUUCAGGAAACGGCUGGUGGAAGAUGAUGGAGUGGGGAGCCUGACUGCACAGGAAUCUCAGUCAAGUGCCAAACAAAAGCCGUGGUCUGUUGCCAAGUGGACAGAUGUUUGUGGCUGUUAGAGACUUGCCAUUAAAAGCUUGAUGUGCAGAUACAAGCACAAGUAGGACGAUUGAUCCUAUGCAGCAGCAUAAGUUGUGAAUAGGAAGGUGUAUUUGAUGGCAAGAUGCCUUCAGCAGGAUGGUGGAAGGCCACAGAAUCACAGAAUGACCCGGGUUGGAAGGGACCUCAAGGAUCAUGAAUCUCCAACCCCCCUGCCACAAGGAGGGCCACCAACCUCCACAUUUAAUAGUAGACCACGCUGCCCAGGGCCCCAUCCAACCUGGCCUUGAACACCUUCAGGGACGGGGCAUCCACAACCUCUCUGGGCAGCCUCUGCCAGCACCUCACUACUCUCCUGCAGGAAGAGUUUUAUGACUUGACAAAACAGAAUAGAAUUCAGAAGAAGUCAGAGGAAAUGAGAAGAAUCAGGCUGCAGAAGCAAUAUGUGAUGCCACAGCCCCUCCCUGAAUCAAGGACUCAGCAUGGGACAGACGCAGCCAGGGAUGUCUGCAA
Long non-coding RNA from Gallus gallus (chicken), 840 nucleotides. The record is from Ensembl. Lineage: Eukaryota; Metazoa; Chordata; Aves; Galliformes; Phasianidae.